RNAcentral lists this ribosomal RNA (772 nucleotides) under Poronia punctata. RNAcentral's name for it is "eukaryotic LSU rRNA". It matches the Rfam family "Eukaryotic large subunit ribosomal RNA", at positions 621 to 1395 of the family's 3401-position model. Lineage: Eukaryota; Fungi; Ascomycota; Sordariomycetes; Xylariales; Xylariaceae. The record is from RNAcentral.
GGAUGCUGGCAUAAUGGUCGUCAACGACCCGUCUUGAAACACGGACCAAGGAGUCGAACAUUUGUGCGAGUGUUUGGGUGUUAAACCCUCACGCGUAAUGAAAGUGAACGGAGGUGAGAGCCCUUACGGGUGCAUCAUCGACCGAUCCUGAUGUCUUCGGAUGGAUUUGAGUAAGAGCAUAACUGUUCGGACCCGAAAGAUGGUGAACUAUGCGUGGAUAGGGUGAAGCCAGAGGAAACUCUGGUGGAGGCUCGCAGCGGUUCUGACGUGCAAAUCGAUCGUCAAAUCUGCGCAUGGGGGCGAAAGACUUAUCGAACCAUCUAGUAGCUGGUUACCGCCGAAGUUUCCCUCAGGAUAGCAGUGUUGUUCUUCAGUUUUAUGAGGUAAAGCGAAUGAUUAGGGACUCGGGGGCUAUUUUUUGCCUUCAUCCAUUCUCAAACUUUAAAUAUGUAAGAAGCCCUUGUUACUUAAUUGAACGUGGGCAUUCGAAUGUACCAACACUAGUGGGCCAUUUUUGGUAAGCAGAACUGGCGAUGCGGGAUGAACCGAACGCGGGGUUAAGGUGCCGGAGUGGACGCUCAUCAGACACCACAAAAGGUGUUAGCACAUUUAGACAAUAGGACGGUGGCCAUGGAAGUCGGAAUCCGCUAAGGACUGUGUAACAACUCACCUAUCGAAUGUGCUAGCCCUGAAAAUGGAUGGCGCUCAAGCGUCCCACCCAUACCUCGCCCUCAGGGUAGAAACGAUGCCCUGAGGAGUAGGCGGCCGUGGG